RNAcentral lists this long non-coding RNA (692 nucleotides) under Athene cunicularia (burrowing owl). RNAcentral describes it as "lncRNA (ENSACUG00000006017.1)". Lineage: Eukaryota; Metazoa; Chordata; Aves; Strigiformes; Strigidae. The record is from RNAcentral.
CUCCUUACUGUGAAUUCUGUCAGUGUAUCAUUGAUUGUGCUGGAACCUGCCUUUUGGGAUAAUUACCAAAUAAUAUAUUCCUCAAAACUUCUUAAUGGCACUGAGGCUUUGUGGAUAGUUGGUCACAUGAUGAGAAAAUUGAGCUCUACCAUCUCUUCUGAAGCUUUUCACUUGCUACCUCUCUGACCAUCCUACCUUCCAUGUUGAGAAUACUGUCCUAACUUCUGAUGUGGAAGACUGCUGACCUUUUCCUUUGAUGCUGAUACCAGUAUUUUCUAUGGGAGAUAGUACUGUAGUGAAGACAUAGAAAAAGAAGAAUAUGGCAUUUGUCAAUUUUUUAUAGUUUUGAAUAUAGUUAAGCAAAAUUGUUCUUCUGUCUUCAUAUAAAAUGUGCUGGUUUCGUAAUGUACUUGUAAUUUGAAGAUGUUUGUAGAAAUGUAAAAUCAAAUGUGAAGAAUACAAAAUCUAUAUUAAAGACAUUUAAAUUUAACAAAAUAUAGCAUUAGUCUUUAUUUUAAAAAUUGAGUCCUACAUGGCUCACUUGCAAAAAGUGGGAUAGAUUUAAAAAGUUGUGUACUGGUAAAGUCUGACUUACUAAAAGGUGAAAUUAUUUUCUUCCUCCCUACGGUAAUAUUUUCUUGAUUUAUACCUAUUAAAGAUCUCUCCUUCUCUUGAGUUCUCUGUUUUCUCCU